RNAcentral lists this ribosomal RNA (408 nucleotides) under uncultured bacterium. RNAcentral's name for it is "partial 16S ribosomal RNA". It matches the Rfam family "Bacterial small subunit ribosomal RNA", at positions 28 to 526 of the family's 1533-position model. The record is from RNAcentral.
GACGAACGCUGGCGGCGUGCUUAACACAUGCAAGUCGAACGGAGUGGCGAACGGGUGAGUCACCCGUGGGUGACCUGCCCUGCACUUCGGGAUAAGCCUGGGAAACUGGGUCUAAUACCGGAUAGUGUGGGAUGGGCCCGGGGCCUAUCAGCUUGGUGGUGGGGUAAUGGCCUACCAGGGCGGCGACGGGUAGCCGGCCUGAGAGGGUGGAAGGCCACAUAGGGACUGAGAGACGGCCCAGACUGCUACGGGAGACAGUAGAGGGGAAUAUUGCGCAAUGGGCGGAAGCCUGAGGCAGCGACGCCGCGGGGGUGAUGACGGCUUUCGGGUUGUAAACUCCUUUGACCAUCGACGCGGUAGACGGAGAAAAAGCACCGGCUAACUACGUGCCAGCAGCCGCGGUAAUAC